This 1862-nucleotide long non-coding RNA is filed under the name Panax ginseng (ginseng). RNAcentral describes it as "long non-coding RNA (PGIN_LNC017010)". Lineage: Eukaryota; Viridiplantae; Streptophyta; Magnoliopsida; Apiales; Araliaceae. The record is from RNAcentral.
CGCUUCGUAUUCAUGAGCCAGGAGCUGUUUCGUAUAAACACGAUGCCGCCUCUCUCUCCCGUAUAUAACCCAGAAGACUAAAGACAUCAUAACUGCAGUAGAUACCAUAACCAAAUCAUAUAAAUGGAAGUACAACAACUUGUAUAUACAAAAUCAUAUAAAUGGAAAAUGAAAUGAAAUUUCAAAACGUAAAAUGUACCAUUUUGCGAGCAAUCAUCCAUGUUGUCAUGCAUACACUGUGUGACGCUAUCUAACGUGUAAAAUAAAGCAUCAUGAUUGUAGGUCCAGCCAUGCAUCACUUGUAAGAGAUUGCCCUAUAAGCCUAUUUCUAAUGUGUCUGUUAGGAAUGGAGACCCAACCUCAAAUACAAUUGCGCAACACUCAAAUAGCCUGUACUUUAUCCCUUGCUCAUUAAAUGGGACACACUUAAUUAAAGCUUGCAUAACUAGAAUGCUACAAAUUCAGCCGUUUUCAGCUUAUGGCUCUUGGCUUACCAAUUUGAAUUUCCAAAAUCAUAAAUAGCAUUCCAUGAAUUCAAUGUAAAUUAUAUUCUACUGGUAAAGACCCAUGUUUUCCUUGGAUGUGCAAAACUGAAGUUUGCAGUUACCAACCUGUCUUGGAUGUGCUACAAACCAAACAUGACAAGAAUGGUGUUGAGCAAAUCGCUUGAUCUUUGUUAGCGUCUGACUGACAUACUCUGUUUCAGUCCAGUUACAAAUAAAUUGAUUCAGGAAUAAUGACUUUAUACGGACAAUCUGAAAUGAAAGGGAAAGGAGGAAAAGGAAAAGGGCUUUUUAUAAAAAGAAUGCAAGCAAAAGAAAUAUUAAACAGCAGAUGAAGACCGUCUUUAUUCUUGACAAUAAUAAUAAUUUUCAAAAAAUGACAUUGAUUUCAAACUACCACUAAAGAUCCAAAAUAAUUGUUAGAGGACUACAGUAUUCAGCUCUAUCUAGUACAACAGAAGAUAUUAUUUAAGUAACCAAUUAAAUAUGUCAAAGUUUAAGCCUGAUGUAUAAUAGAUGUCCAAACUUCAAAUCUCUUACAACGUUGUAUGUGUUUCAUCUUAUUUGUUAUAAUAUUUCAGUUUCCCUUGCGUUCUAAGAACUAAAAUGAAGCCUGCCUCUCCAAACAAGCAUCUGGCACGUCCCUUAUGCUGAUUCCCUGAAGCUAAGGCCAUAGCCUAAUAUGUUCCUUGCUAAAAAAUUUGCUCAAGUUCUUUUAGCUUUCAACUUGUUCUACUUUGUUCAUGAGAUGCAAAAAAGUAUCUCUGUGCAUUCACUUUUGAGCUAACUCUUUGAAUAAACACCCAUGUUUUAAUAACUCCAGCUUGGUGCUAGUUUAUGCAUAUUAUAAUUGAUUCCAAAAAUCACAACAAACUUUCUUCAAAACCUACAAAAGCAUUUCAAAACUUUAAUCACAAAAACACCAAAAGUACACAUUUUAAACUGUAGCAAGCAGAAGAUACCAAAAACCCCUAAAACAAUCAAAACUCACUAAUUAUGCCAAACUUCAUACAUGCGCUUCGCCAUGUGAAACCCAACUCACACACGAUCUCAACUACGCCGGAAGAGAAUCAAAGAUUUGGAAGAUGUGGCUGUUCAUACUCGUUCUUUUCCUCAAAAACUCACCUCAAAUCUCAGUAGAACAAAAGGUCGAAUAUAUAUACACACACAUACACACAAGAUCCUAGAUGUUACGUUGGUGAUGAACCCCAACUUUUUGCCUCAAUUUACCGAACCCUCAUUUGUGGGUAUCUAAAUUUCUCAGCUUUAGAUGAGAGAGGGAGACGAAGAUGAAGAACGAAAGUACGAAAUGAGAGUUUAGACUUGUGAGAUCUAAUUUGGGGAUCUGUUUUAUCUUUU